RNAcentral lists this ribosomal RNA (479 nucleotides) under uncultured Bacteroidota bacterium. RNAcentral's name for it is "bacterial SSU rRNA". It matches the Rfam family "Bacterial small subunit ribosomal RNA", at positions 898 to 1382 of the family's 1533-position model. The record is from RNAcentral. Lineage: Bacteria; Pseudomonadati; Bacteroidota.
AACUCAAAGGAUUGACGGGGCCGCACAAGCGGUGGAGCAUGUGGUUUAAUUCGACGAUACGCGAGGAACCUUACCUGGGCUUAAAUGCUUAAUGACGUACUGGGAAACUGGUAUUUCUUCGGACAUUUUGCAAGGUGCUGCAUGGUUGUCGUCAGCUCGUGCCGUGAGGUGUCGGGUUAAGUCCCAUAACGAGCGCAACCCCUAUUGUUAGUUGCCAUCAGGUCAUGCUGGGGACUCUAACAAAACUGCCCGCGUAAGCGUGGAGGAAGGUGGGGAUGACGUCAAAUCAGCACGGCCCUUACGUCCAGGGCUACACACGUGCUACAAUGGCCGGUACAGAGGGCAGCCACUUGGUGACAAGGAGCAAAUCUCAAAAGCCGGUCUCAGUUCGGAUCGGAGUCUGCAACUCGACUCCGUGAAGUUGGAUUCGCUAGUAAUCGUAGAUCAGCAAUGCUACGGUGAAUACGUUCCCGGGCCUU